UAAUUAAUUCAUAGAUGAGAGAUUGUGUUGCAGCAGCACUCUAUAGACUGGGGCUCUCUAUCUCUCUUCCCUGAAUUAAUUAACUUGAUCACCUAAGUUUAAUUUGAAAUUUGUCAUCCCAACUUUCGCCAUGUCUAGUUCCUCCCUUAUCGAAAGAUUUUACAACCAUCCUUCCAACAUCAUAUCGCGUGGUCAGCCAAGUAAGGAUGAAAGGUCACGAUUGAGGUUGAGUUGGAUGAUAAAGUCACGAAAAGGAUGGGAAACUGACUUUAACGAUUCGUCCGUCGUAAGCAAAUGGUUCCAAGAUGCAAAGGACGAAUUGGGUGGUGCCGUGGCGUCAAGUUCGGGACACAAGAAGGUCGCGUUGGUGCAACUGGAGAAAAAUUGGCCAGUUGUAAUCGAUCGUCUACCCCACUUCUUGACUUUGUGGGAUGGUCAAUUGACUCCUGGGCCGUUGGAUGGUUCCUGGGUGGCGGAUGGCCUCGUGGAUAUCGCCCUGACCGAGCGACUCGUCGGGGGAGCAGGAAAGGUGGAAGAAAUCGCGAUCAAGGCGAAUAAUUGGCAACCAGCGACGGAAAAUCGUGUAAUCAACGUGAUUGACCCGUACUCAUACUGUGCCGUAGCUAAGAGGUCACAUAUUCUGAAAGGAGGAUUUGUCCCGAAAGAACCUAAGAAUCUCGACGACUAUCGUCACCUUCUACAUUUCCAUUCAGCCAAUACGCGGAACUAUCUCCACCGCUUUGACGUGAAGAGGUUGAUAAGUAUCAUACCCAAUGACAUGAUUUCGCCCCCACCAAAGAUCGAAUGGGACCCAAACUAUCAACUGCUUCCUGCCGACGUUGUUAUCGACUCUGAUGGUGCGUCGCACUUCACGUCGUAUGUCAACGGUCUCUACCCGGCGGAACAUGGGGAAUUGUACGCAACUCUGGAACAAGUUUUGGACAAAAUGGUACCAAUGUUUGAAAAGGUACUGACCGAAAUCCGAACGGCAGGGCAGGCAGAGGCAGAAAGUGGGCCUAAGACGCGACGACAAUUAGCGAACCCUUCGAUUGUCUCCAUUGCUCCAGUGAGUUUACGCGGGAGGAAAAUCCAAGUCGUGGUUAGAAUGGCGACGACAAUUUUAACUCCGGAAAAUUCUAAGCAUCCAGGCGGACAGUGGCACAUUGAAGGGAUGGCGAAUGAACAAAUCGUCGCCGUAGGUCUGCACUAUUUCUCUAAUGAAAACAUCACCACGUCAGAACUGUAUCUUGGUCUUACUCAGCGGGCAUUGAAUGGCGUCAUAAGGGUCGUGGAUGGCGGAAACAAUGAUUUCGGAAUCGAAACGGUGCCGGGUCGGAGCGUUGUGUUCAAGAAUUCUGUCUCUCACCGUGUGGCUCCUUUUGAACUGGAUGAUCCCGACAAACCUGGACAUCGUAAAAUCCUUGGUUUCUUCCUCGUCGACCCAGGAGCCCAAAUUUUGUCGUCAGCUCGCGUCCCAUGUCAGCAAUGGACGAGGUAUUUGGGACAAGUGAAGGCCGUCUUGGCUCACUUAUUGCCUCCAGAAAUAGUGGAGCUCGUGGUGUCAUUUCUACGUCGGGGUGACCAGUACUUGGACACGGAAGAGGCGAAACGUCUGCAGGGGGAGAUGCGCGAUGAGAGAAAGAAAAGAUUGGCGGGGACGUAUCGCACACGGAAACAAGAACUGGAACUUAAAAAAUUGAUAGCCCGCCGUAAAUUGGCUUAUUAUGGAAACUGAUGUUCGAAUUCGAUUGAACGUAUGUACUCCGUGUGUAAACCAAAAUUGGUUUAAGGGGCCGUCCAUAAAUUACUCUAAAACGUUAUAGUAUAUCUAUUCCCUAAUCCCAAUCCCCGACCGAAUUGAAAUUAAUAUCUAAUUGCUUCAAUUCUGAAUUAGUUUUUGUAAUCAGUAAAAAAUGUUUAAUUUUAAUUAAAUAUGUAUAAAUUGGAAAUUGUCGAAUAUUGGUUUUGAAUUAAAUAAUUCAAAUAAUUAUGUACUUGUCACUUGUACUUCGGUGUUUGAGCCAGUUUGAGAACAUUUCGCUUAAUUCUCAACCUCAGCUUAUCCUCAACCCGCUGCUUUACUGGACUGCAGCAUUUGUUUUAACUCUGUUUAUUUGAUGUUUCAGCGAUAUCAAUUACUUAUAAUUAUGUGACUUAUUUAUUUGCCGACGUGCAUUACUUUGUUUUAUUUUGCAAUUUAUUAGCUUUAGUAACCUAUUUUUUAUAAAUUUAUAUUAGAAUACUUGUCUGGUAUCCAGAGCUGAAAAUGAGUACUUGUUCUCACGCUCGUCCGACACGUUUAAUAAAAACCUAAACAAGAAAUCAAU
This is an RNA transcript of Folsomia candida, 2327 nucleotides long. RefSeq lists it as uncharacterized. The transcript has 7 exons. The record is from RefSeq and is a predicted model, not a curated record. NCBI's taxonomy places the organism in Eukaryota, Metazoa, Arthropoda, Collembola, Entomobryomorpha, Isotomidae.